ACAAAACACUAGGGAUGUUGCCGUGAGCAACUGAGAUGGGCCUGUUGGGCUCGGCCCCUUGGAACCUGUAAGUUAGUGCUUGCGUAGGGAAUGUGUGCUUAGAUGAUC
RNAcentral lists this non-coding RNA (108 nucleotides) under Agrilactobacillus composti. RNAcentral describes it as "Lactobacillus composti TPP sequence". It matches the Rfam family "TPP riboswitch aptamer (THI element)". Rfam says of the family: Vitamin B(1) in its active form thiamin pyrophosphate (TPP) is an essential coenzyme that is synthesised by coupling of pyrimidine and thiazole moieties in bacteria. The previously detected thiamin-regulatory element, thi box was extended, resulting in a new, highly conserved RNA secondary structure, the THI element, which is widely distributed in eubacteria and also occurs in some archaea. RNAcentral also lists the same sequence under 1 other name. Lineage: Bacteria; Bacillati; Bacillota; Bacilli; Lactobacillales; Lactobacillaceae. The record is from RNAcentral.